Molecule: ribosomal RNA, 253 nt
Filed under: uncultured bacterium
Lineage: Bacteria
Description: partial 16S ribosomal RNA
Rfam family: Bacterial small subunit ribosomal RNA
Source: RNAcentral
UACAGAGGGUGCAAGCGUUGUUCGGAACUAUUGGGCGUAAAGGGCGCGUAGGCGGUGCGGUAAGUCUGUAGUGAAAUCUCUGGGCUCAACUCAGAGUCUGCUGCAGAAACUGCCGUGCUUGAGUGUGGGAGAGGUGAGUGGAAUUCCCGGUGUAGCGGUGAAAUGCGUAGAUAUCAGGAGGAACACCUGUGGCGAAAGCGGCUCACUGGACCAUAACUGACGCUGAUGCACGAAAGCUAGGGGAGCAAACAGG